RNAcentral lists this ribosomal RNA (234 nucleotides) under uncultured Actinomycetales bacterium. RNAcentral's name for it is "partial 16S ribosomal RNA". It matches the Rfam family "Bacterial small subunit ribosomal RNA", at positions 97 to 334 of the family's 1533-position model. Lineage: Bacteria; Bacillati; Actinomycetota; Actinomycetes; Actinomycetales. The record is from RNAcentral.
GGCGAACGGGUGAGUAGCACGUGGGUGAUCUGCCCUGCACUUCGGGAUAAGCCUGGGAAACUGGGUCUAAUACCGGAUAGGAGCCAUUUUUAGUGUGAUGGUUGGAAAGUUUUUUCGGUGUAGGAUGAGCUCGCGGCCUAUCAGCUUGUUGGUGGGGUAAUGGCCUACCAAGGCGGCGACGGGUAGCCGGCCUGAGAGGGUGGACGGCCACAUUGGGACUGAGAUACGGCCCAG